This 148-nucleotide non-coding RNA is filed under the name Nomascus leucogenys (northern white-cheeked gibbon). Lineage: Eukaryota; Metazoa; Chordata; Mammalia; Primates; Hylobatidae. The record is from Rfam by way of RNAcentral.
GCCGGGCGUGUUGGCACGCGCCUGUAAUCCCAGCUACUCAGGAGGUUGAGGCGGGAGAAUCGCUUGAACCUGGGAGGCAGAGGUUGCAGUGAGCCGAGAUUGUGCCACUGCACUCCAGCCUGGGCAAUAGAGUGAGACUCCGUCUCAA